RNAcentral lists this long non-coding RNA (1044 nucleotides) under Equus asinus (donkey). RNAcentral describes it as "lncRNA (ENSEASG00005032943.1)". The record is from RNAcentral. Lineage: Eukaryota; Metazoa; Chordata; Mammalia; Perissodactyla; Equidae.
UGGAAUCUUAGAAGCUGGGAAUUCUAGAACCAGAGAACAGGGUCCCAGAAGGAAGGGCCCUCAGGGAUCACACCUCUCCUUCGUUUGAGAGGAAACUGAGGACCGGAAAGGGGUGUGGCCCACUUGGGGGGGGGUCACUCAGGCAGCAAGGAAAUCACUGGUAACAUAAGGGGGCUGCUUGGGUUCAGUACAAACCAGCGUGGUCCCAACAGGUGUCAGCCGGACCCCUCCACAUCCUCUUUCUCUCUGGCGAGGGGAGUGGGCUCUUCACUGUGUGGAGAAAUGUCAGUCUUCCCCAUCGUUUGUCUUCCAUCUCACAUCCUGGAGUGGGACAAGUCCGUGCCCCUCACUGGGCCUCUCUCCUCUCCUUCUGGGCUGCAGAUUAUGAUGCCAGGACAGCCCCUGACUCAGAAAUCAGCCAAGGAACUGCGGAAACACAGAGGCAGAAAGUGGGUCCCCCUCCACACAGGACUCCCAGCAGGAAGAUAGCUUGACCCCCAAGUCCCAUAGAAGAGGUGGGAGGUGUCCUGGUGUCCUGGCUCAGAUUGUUGGAGUCCCCAGGGUUGAAGAAGCCACCAGGGUCCUCUAGGACAGAUCCCAGAACGAAUCACCCUACAGUGGGUUAGCUAGUCUGUGCACCGACAACAGGACGCUCGCUCCCUCUGGUGGCCACCUGCUCCAGUACAGUCACAAACCUUGUGACCAUCUCCUUUGUCUGGGCUGCCUCUGGGCCCUAUGGCUUCCACCCAUCAGGCCUGGUUCUGCUUCCUGGAUCCACACAAGAAAAGUCUGAGCCCUUUUACCCAACAGCCCUUCAGACACUUAAGAUGACCCCACCCUCGGUAUUUAUUUUGAAAUUUUUCAUGUACUCUGUCAGUAAAGAAUUCUGUUACACACAGUGAUGUACCUCUCCAGCCCUCUUGCAUCUCCUUCCUUCUCUCCAGAGGGAACCACUAUCCUUUCCUUUAUCUUUAUCACUAUUUUGCCUUCAAAAAUAUUUUUACUACAUAUGCAGGUAUCUUCAAAUAACAUAUUGUUUUGCAG